UACGUAGGGGGCAAGCGUUGUCCGGAAUUAUUGGGCGUAAAGAGCGCGUAGGCGGUCCGGUAAGUCCGCUCUGAAAGUCCGGGGCUCAACCCCGGGAGGCGGGCGGAUACUGUCGGGCUAGAGUCCGGAAGAGGCGAGUGGAAUUCCUGGUGUAGCGGUGAAAUGCGCAGAUAUCAGGAGGAACACCAAUGGCGAAGGCAGCUCGCUGGGACGGUACUGACGCUGAGGCGCGAAAGCGUGGGGAGCAAACAGG
This 253-nucleotide ribosomal RNA is filed under the name uncultured bacterium. RNAcentral describes it as "partial 16S ribosomal RNA". It matches the Rfam family "Bacterial small subunit ribosomal RNA", at positions 524 to 776 of the family's 1533-position model. The record is from RNAcentral.